This 484-nucleotide ribosomal RNA is filed under the name uncultured bacterium. RNAcentral describes it as "partial 16S ribosomal RNA". It matches the Rfam family "Bacterial small subunit ribosomal RNA", at positions 30 to 507 of the family's 1533-position model. The record is from RNAcentral.
AUUGAACGCUGGCGGCAGGCCUAACACAUGCAAGUCGAGCGGAUGAAGGGAGCUUGCUCCUGGAUUCAGCGGCGGACGGGUGAGUAAUGCCUAGGAAUCUGCCUGGUAGUGGGGGAUAACGUCCGGAAACGGGCGCUAAUACCGCAUACGUCCUGAUGGAGAAAGUGGGGGAUCUUCGGACCUCACGCUAUCAGAUGAGCCUAGGUCGGAUUAGCUAGUUGGUGGGGUAAAGGCCUACCAAGGCGACGAUCCGUAACUGGUCUGAGAGGAUGAUCAGUCACACUGGAACUGAGACACGGUCCAGACUCCUAAGGGAGGCAGCAGUGGGGAAUAUUGGACAAUGGGCGAAAGCCUGAUCCAGCCAUGCCGCGUGUGUGAAGAAGGUCUUCGGAUUGUAAAGCACUUUAAGUUGGGAGGAAGGGCAGUAAGUUAAUACCUUGCUGUUUUGACGUUACCAACAGAAUAAGCACCGGCUAACUUCGUG